Molecule: unclassified non-coding RNA, 767 nt
Filed under: Hevea brasiliensis (rubber tree)
Lineage: Eukaryota; Viridiplantae; Streptophyta; Magnoliopsida; Malpighiales; Euphorbiaceae
Source: RNAcentral
AUCAACUUGUUUCAUACAACAUGAUAUUGUAAUUUCUAUUAUGGAGUGAUAUAAUUUUUUAUUAUUAUAACAUAAAUGAUAUUUCAUUAAAUGAAAUAGGAUUAUAAAUGAUCAAACCUAUUAAAAUAAAGUUACAUAAAACUCCAACUAAUUAAGUCCAGGAAAAGGUCCAAACCCUAACAAUCCUGAAUCUCAUGGCUAAAUAAGUAGGACUUAAUAAAUCAAGCUUCACGGUCGCCAAUGCCGACUUCAUCUUCACUAGCAAACUCUUCACUAGUCUUCCAAAAGAAAUCUGCUGGUAGCUUGAACAACAAGAGGAAGAUCAUCAACAUCAGAAGGAGAUUAAAAAUACCUCACUCAACACACAGAUGUUGUCCUUGCUCAACACAUGCACGCCCAGAAAAGGAGGAGAAAAUGUAGCAAACCGUAGGAGAAUCUGGGACUGUUGGACAAAUCCAGAAAAAUGCGUGUCAAGGUGACCAGAUCGAUACCCACAUUUGAAGUUGCCAACCAUUACCUGUUCCGAUAAGCUUCAUAGCAAAUAAAAAGGGAAGUCACCUCCAAGAAAUAGAGUUUUCUUACAACAACCUAAUAAAACUCCAUCCAAAUGAGGGGUAUAAGGAUUUCAUAACUAGAGACCGAGAAAACGCUAGAAAGAAAACAAAAAGAAAACAACCAAUAGAUUAAAACACUAUCUAAAGAAAUGGGGUAGGGGAGUUGACAGCCAAAGCAGUUGGACCUCCUCUUUAGAUUGAAUUAUAAUGAAG